Non-coding RNA from Coniosporium uncinatum, 99 nucleotides. NCBI's taxonomy places the organism in Eukaryota, Fungi, Ascomycota, Dothideomycetes. The record is from the annotation of a GenBank genome assembly.
UAUCACGUGACGCAGCGGUUAUCAUCCUAGCCUUCCAUGAUCUAGCACUCUAGAUGAGUUAGCUAGGGACUCGGGUUCGACUCCCGAACGGCGCAAUAG